CUUCAUCCAGACCUACCAAGUCAAAAUUUGUGGUCCAAAAUCCUCUCACUAGCUUCUGAGUCUAUAACCAUCCUUGUUAGUAAUAAUAUUAUUAUUCUUCCUAGCCACAGCUACUCUAGAGUUUGCUUUGAGGCACCCAUGGUGCAGAUGUGGUUAUAAAGAUUCUUGUUCUACUCCUCUUUCAAACAUCUCUCUGCAGAAUUUUAGCAUUUCUCAAAAAUAUUUCAAAACACACUUCAGGAAGGAAGGGCACCUGAUAUAUGCAUCUCUAUAGCUUUCUGAGCUUGGACAAAUCACAGUUUCAGUGAUACCACAUCAACACCAUUCACCAUGAAGGAAGACAAGACAGAAGAGUGCAUGAGCCUGUGGACAGAGAGGACCAGAGCAAAGCAGUGUCUUCUGGACAUGGCAAGACUGCUACAUCCUUGAACUUAGAGCAGCUGUGGUUGCCCAAACAAAAUCAAGCCAGUCAACAUUCUAUUAUAGAGUAAGAAGGAGCUCAGGAGACUCCACCCAUGACUGAGAAGCUAUCUGUGGACAGGUGAAAUAAUUUGAAAGAAGAAAUGAAAGAAGUGAAAUCAGUUAUGUCUUCAAAAGCUAUUCAUAAAUAAUAUUGAAAAAAAACCCAGAGAGUGGAGCCAUCUUACCAACCCCAAACAUAUGGAGGCUUUUUACGCUGGAGGAAAACUUACAAGGCUCUCUCAACUGGCUUCAUAAAUAGGAUCUCAUCUUAACAGAGGGGAGACCAAAGUUCCGAGGAGAAAUGCUGUGCUCAGGCUCCCAAAGCAAGAAACCAGCCCAGCCCCUCCAUCUUCCACCUUCCUCAUCUCACCGUCUUGCUCAGAAGAUGCCACGGAGCAGCACACACACACAGCAGAUGCACUCCCCCAGCAGUCGAAAACUGCUAUAUGAAUUCCAUUCAACCACCAUUGGCUCCUCCAUUCUCAGGGGACACUAAAUGGAGCAAGGGCAGCAGCAGUUCUUACUGAUUUUUUGCUCACCAAUAAAAUAACAAUUGUUAGCCCACAAAAUGUCUAAAAUGGUCUACAUCUGAUCCAUUUCAUGAUAUUUCCUUCUCACAGACAGCUCCCUUUCCCACUGCUAACUGGGAUUUCACAAGCUUUGUGACUUUUCAGUCAAAGUCGACAUAGUGUGGCUGGUUCAUCAACACAAACCUUGCCUUGUUCUAUGACCCACUGGAACAGCUGUCUACUGACUUUACCCACCAGCAAAUCUUCCCACACUGCCUAAACUAUUUUACUUCACUUCAUAGUUUCUGAAA
Peromyscus maniculatus bairdii (prairie deer mouse) is the source of this 1282-nucleotide non-coding RNA. Lineage: Eukaryota; Metazoa; Chordata; Mammalia; Rodentia; Cricetidae. The record is from RefSeq and is a predicted model, not a curated record.